This is a long non-coding RNA of Lingula anatina, 1008 nucleotides long. NCBI's taxonomy places the organism in Eukaryota, Metazoa, Brachiopoda, Lingulata, Lingulida, Lingulidae. The record is from RefSeq and is a predicted model, not a curated record.
UAUAUAUUACACUUGGUUAAAUUAGUAGAGGGUUUUCAUUCAUUGAAUCAAUUACCCCCCAAAAAUGCAAUUUUCAAUUAUUCUGUAAAACCUAUUUUGAACACAACCAUGUGUGGAGUGUUACACCCUGAUUUAUGUAUGUAGUGAUAAUAUAACUGGAAGACAAAGGAAUAGAAGUGCUUUAACAAGCCGGGUGGCGCAUGUACCUAUAGUUCCUGUUUUACACAUGUUCCCUUCACAACUUGUGAAACUAGGGUAAGGUAAGGUAGCAGGUUUAAGAAGAUGAGCAGUACCAUCUCUGUUCUGUUACUGCGUUCAAAUAUCCCGUUUUGCCUGUGUGGUAGCAGUCUCACACGGGUAGUAGAUAAAUUCCAGCAUUCGAUCAGAAAUUGUAGCAAAUGGGUAAUUGAGGUACUUCGUCGCUUUACCUUGGUGCAUUGUACAGGAGAGAAAGAAAUUUUACAUUGUUAAGAAUUUCAGAGAAUUAGAAGACUUGUGGGUACAGUAAGUAUUUCGUUUAUCAGGGAGAUUAAAAGCAUAAAACAAACCGAUGUUGAGAAAGUGUCAUAUGAUGUACUUUUCACAUGGCAGACGACAGGUUUAUGAUUGACAGCUUUGUUGAUCUUUCGACGCCUGACCGCGACUGCAAAGAGCACAUAUCGAUCUAUACAUACAAACUCUUGACGUUUUUCAUACAUUUUUUUUUCUAGAUAGCACUAGAAAAUGAGACUUUUUUUCGGUUUUGCUUCCUAGCUGAAUAAUGGGCAAUAGAAAAGCCAAUGAUAGACACUAUUGCUCUUCGUGUAUAUUAUUAAAAUUUUAUUAUCGUACUCUUCUAUUAUCUCAUUGUAUGUGAAAUUUUGACUUUGUAUUUGCACUGAAACUUAGAUGUUUUGUGAUAUUCACAUUCUGACCUAUUCACGUGCUGUAAACAAUCUAGGAACUUCAUUAGAACAAAAUUUUGAACAUUUUCAACACGAGGAUAUAUAAUAAAAGAAUUAAAAUCAA